CUUUCCUUCAGGGCUGAUAAGACUCGUUCCCAGGGUGGCAACCCUGUACAAACAUCUACCAAUCCCUCUGACAGCAGCUAAGUCCCUGGCAAUGCUUCCUAGUUGGUGAGCUGCAUUACCAUCUAGAAACACACUGCUGGCCCCAUUGUCCCAGCUCCGAAGCAACCAGGUGAACAGCUUUGUUUGGGCAGCAUGUAAACUCCUUUCUUGAGCCUUGGAUUUCAGUCAUCUUCAGAGUUGGACGAGUAAUGGUAACAGUGACUUCCUCCUCCUCGCUCUCCUCUCCACGUCUCUUAGUUUUUUCCAUUGCCUUUCUCAGUGAUGGUGGUUUUGGGGAGGGCCCCUGGCCUGGAUCUUCCUCUACUUCCUCAGCGUCGUCUUCUUUCUGUUCUGAAUGCGAGGACACCCAUUUCCAUUUCUGUCCCUCCACAGGGCAGCUGACAUCGAAAAUGGUACCUCCUGUGGCUGAUCAGGUUUGAUUUGGAGACUUCCCCCUUUGGCUUGAACCUCAGCUCGGAAACUUUCUCUCUCCAGAAUAGUAUUACACAGAGCUCGGUGUUCAAGAGUGAAAUCCCAUGGCACUGCAGGUCCCCACGCAUCAACCUCUCCAUAUUCCCUGCCAGUCAGCGUUCUCUGGUUUUGGGGAAGACUUCUUCCACAUGACAUGAACAGAGAAGAAUACAUUCAGGGAGACUGGAAACAUGAGCAUGAACGUGAUCACGAACUCGGCAUUCCAAAAACGCGUAAAGAACUGAGAAGAGAGCCUGGAAACUGGUUUGAACAUCGUGUUGUUGGUAAAGUCAGCUAUUCCAUCUGUCAGUAUUCACAUCAUACAACACUGCAGGCGGUGACUGCUGCGGAUGGGGCAGUGGCAGUGGGAAGACGGCGAGGUGGUGGCAGCAGAGCUGGUGAGGUGCUGCUCCCACUGCACAGGAGGCUGCUGCUGAAGGCAACAAACCUCAGGGAGAAGAAAAGGAGGUUGGUGUUUCUCAGGAAAAGGUCAGCAGCAUCCCUUCAGCUGUGAUAGAGGCAGCAUCGAACACCGAAGGGGAAGGAGAAGAACAUGAUGUCAUCAUGAGUGAGUCCAAAGAUACUGCAGCAGAGAUGGGCACUCAGGGCACUGACAGUGAAACCUCCCAAGUUGGAAGUGAGCAGAAACCAGCUGAAGAAAUCCAGACUGCGCCUUCUCAAGGUCAGCCUGCGUCAGCAGGAGACACAGCUUCUGACAUGGCACCGGCCUUUCUCUUUAAGGUCUGGUAAUGAUAGUGGGAAAUGAAAGAAGUUCCUUGCACGGUAGGAAUGAUGUAACAGGACUUGUCCAAGAGGCAGCACUUGUGGGAUUCUGCAACCUUGGGAGAGGAUGUUUGGUUUCUUUCAGGAGUUUCGGGAAGAUUUACUGAAGCUUUACCUGUUUCAUAAACUAUACAUAGAAACUCUGAUGUGAACAUUAACAGCUUGAAUGUUGAAGUUCUGCAUGAUUUUGCGGCAGCUAACAGUGCUGAGCUUAAUUUAAAACAUGGGGAUAUUGUGCUAGUAAUUCCUUCUGAGACCACAGCUGCUCAGAGUUUUACAUGGAGAUCUGGGGAAACGUGCAUUUGCCCCGAGAGAGCACUGAGACCACGCACAAACAGUUCUGUCCUGCAGCUCAAUGGCACAGAGGUGUCCCUAAUGUUCUGCGUGCCUCUUGGAACCUGAGCCUCACACAGCAGUGCUCUUGAACUGCACCAGCCAUCACUUUGAUGCAAGAACCCCACAGUUCCAUGUCAUGUAAAAUGGAUGGCACUUAAGAGAACCAAUAAGAAAUCUUCCUUUUGAGCGAUUGUGCUGCUGAGGAUUUGGAUUGCAGUAUUGCAUGCCAAGAUCUGGCUUAGGCUGAAGUUUCCAGGAAUUUCUGAAAGAGGUAGUUGAAUAUCAACUGACUUUUAGUUUCUAGAAAUUACGAUGGCAGAGAAAACAAGAACUGUAAUUUCUUCUGACUGUCAAUAUGGGAAUGAGAGAAAAGAACACUCGGAAAAAAAUAAUCAGAGAAAAAGAUUGCCUUUUUUCCCCUCAGCUGUGGCAUUCUGUAAUGAUUCCAGCACACUCUAUGCUCUUACUGUGAGGCUGGCUGGUUGGCAGGCAGUAAGGAAUCUGAGUGGCUUCAGUACAGAGAUGCAAAGAGUUCUAAAGGACUUUUCCCAGAGAACUUCACACGCCAUCUGGAACAGCUCUUCU
This is a non-coding RNA of Meleagris gallopavo (turkey), 2214 nucleotides long. The record is from RefSeq and is a predicted model, not a curated record. Lineage: Eukaryota; Metazoa; Chordata; Aves; Galliformes; Phasianidae.